CCUACGGGGGGCAGCAGUGGGGGAUAUUGCACAAUGGGGGGAACCCUGAUGCAGCGACGCCGCGUGAAGGAAGAAGUAUCUCGGUAUGUAAACUUCUAUCAGCAGGGAAGAAAAUGACGGUACCUGACUAAGAAGCCCCGGCUAACUACGUGCCAGCAGCCGCGGUAAUACGUAGGGGGCAAGCGUUAUCCGGAUUUACUGGGCGUAAAGGGCGCGUAGGCGGGAACUUAAGUUAGAUGUGAAAACUCCGGGCUC
RNAcentral lists this ribosomal RNA (255 nucleotides) under uncultured bacterium. RNAcentral describes it as "partial 16S ribosomal RNA". It matches the Rfam family "Bacterial small subunit ribosomal RNA", at positions 338 to 610 of the family's 1533-position model. The record is from RNAcentral.